UAUCAGUCAUGCAUAGCAUAUCAAUAAGCGGAGGAAAAGAAACUAACAAGGAUUCCCCUAGUAACUGCGAGUGAAGCGGGAAGAGCUCAAAUUUGAAAUCUUAAAAGGUUUUCCUUUUACGAAUUGUAGUUUAAAGAAGUGUUUUCUGUUGAAAUUUUAGUAAAAGUUCUUUGGAAUAGGACAUCAUAGAGGGUGAGAAUCCCGUAUUUGACUAGAAUUUUUCAACUUUGUGAUACACUUUCAAAGAGUCGGAUUGUUUGGGAAUGCAGUCCAAAAUGGGUGGUAAAUUUCAUCUAAAGCUAAAUAUUGGCGAGAGACCGAUAGCGAACAAGUACCGUGAGGGAAAGAUGAAAGGAACUUUGAAAAGAGAGUUAAAUAGUACGUGAAAUUGUCAAAAGGGAAGCGUUUGGCACCAGUGUUGUUUUUCUAAAAAUCAAUUUAAAAUUUACUUAUGUUAAGUAUUUUAGACUUUAUCAGCUAUAUAUUUAAUUUUUUGUAAUUUUUGAAUGCACUUUUUAGUUAACAAGUCAACAUCAAUUUCUUUUGUUGUAAAAGAAUAAGAGGAAGGUGGCUUGGAUUUAGUUCUCAAGUGUUUAUAGCCUUUUAUUUCUGCAAUAGGAGGGAUUGAGGUCUGCAGCAUAGAUCCUUCGGGGCUAGAUGCAUUUUCGCUAAGAGUCAGUAUUAUAUAAACAACUUGUUGAUUAUGUAGUAUGUUGAUUUUUACUCGGGAGUGUUAUUUUACCUACGCUUAGGAUGUUGAUCUACAGAGCGAGAGU
RNAcentral lists this ribosomal RNA (776 nucleotides) under uncultured Neocallimastigales. RNAcentral describes it as "partial large subunit ribosomal RNA". It matches the Rfam family "Eukaryotic large subunit ribosomal RNA", at positions 22 to 634 of the family's 3401-position model. Lineage: Eukaryota; Fungi; Neocallimastigomycota; Neocallimastigomycetes; Neocallimastigales. The record is from RNAcentral.